Molecule: long non-coding RNA, 758 nt
Filed under: Citrus x clementina
Lineage: Eukaryota; Viridiplantae; Streptophyta; Magnoliopsida; Sapindales; Rutaceae
Description: Citrus clementina (C. clementina) long non-coding RNA (CCLE_LNC001071)
Source: RNAcentral
GGAGAAGAAAUAUUGGCUUGAAAUUUCUUCCCAUGACCAAAACAUUGGUGAUCUUAUCUUCCUAAAUAUCAUCGGUCGUUGUUCAUGGCAUUUCAGAAAAUUUCAAGCCUAUGGCCUACUCCUCUUCAAUGGUAAGGGAUCAAGUUAUCUAUCACGGCAUUAUAUUUAAAUUUCUCUUAAUAAAUUACAUAAAAAGAAUAUAUUAUACAAUAAUUAUGAAACGUAUAAUUCUUUGUGUUGACGCGUGUUUGAUCAAUCAUGAUUGUAUUAAAUAGUUUAUAGAAAGAUUUUUUUUCUUAAAAAGUAUUUUUAAAACAUGAGUGACGUCAAAAUUUUGUCGUUUUCAUUAAGUACGAUCUAUUAAUUCUUCAUGGUCAUAAUUGAUAAUGUGCAAUAAAUUUGCAGGUGAAUAUUACAAAAAAUAAUUCAUCAUUGGGAGAAGACAAAGCAUCGUCCAUGCGCUUCUCCAUCUCUUAAGAUAAACAACUCCAGCUAUGAAAAUAAUACAUGAUGGGGGAGAUGCGUAUGGCGAAACCAAGAUUUUGAUUCAAUACUCAAUGGGGGCCAUAAUGGAGAAUUAAUAAACUUAAGUGGGCAAAAGAAAAAUAACAUAAACUUAACGAGAUAGAAUGUAAAUGUCACAUAGAAAUGGGGUAAAUUUCAGUGAAAGUGGUGCAGAGAGGGUGCUUCUUGGGCAUUCGUGUUCUUAUGUUUGAUUUUGUAUUAUUCUCAGCUUGAAUGAAUAUACAUAAUUUGAU